Molecule: ribosomal RNA, 308 nt
Filed under: uncultured bacterium
Lineage: Bacteria
Description: bacterial SSU rRNA
Rfam family: Bacterial small subunit ribosomal RNA
Source: RNAcentral
GAUGAACGCUAGCUAUAGGCUUAACACAUGCAAGUCGAACGGAAAGGCCCUGCUUUUGUGGGGUGCUCGAGUGGCGAACGGGUGAGUAACACGUGAGUAACCUGCCCUUGACUUUGGGAUAACUUCAGGAAACUGGGGCUAAUACCGGAUAGGAGCUCCUGCUGCAUGGUGGGGGUUGGAAAGUUUCGGCGGUUGGGGAUGGACUCGCGGCUUAUCAGCUUGUUGGUGGGGUAGUGGCUUACCAAGGCUUUGACGGGUAGCCGGCCUGAGAGGGUGACCGGCCACAUUGGGACUGAGAUACGGCCCAG